AUCCAAAAUUGUCCUUCGGAUGCUGUAGAAAAAAAAAUAAAAGAAGAAUUAUAGUUAGGAUGGUGACUCAAAUUCUCAGGGAAGACAUAAUCGAGUUAGGAGAGAGGAGGAAGAAAAAGCAUUUUAUUUCAUUUAAGAUGCUAUUAGAUUUUCAUCUUUCUGGAGUAAUGUUAUAGUUCUUCAUCCAGACAGCAUCGGAAAAAACAUGCGGCAUGGCUUGUUCCCAUUCUGUUUUCAGACAGAUAAUUUUUAUUUAAAUAAAAGGGUGGGCACUCAUGGAUGUUAUUGAAGCCUUUACAAAAAUUCUGUGGAAAGAAAUAUGAAAAUGUGGCUAAGUGUACUUAUGUUCCAUAUCAAUUACAUAGCAUAGUAUAUUUAGACAGGUCCUUAAUCUUUUUCUCUCGAGAUUCAUCCAACAGUCUUUGCAAAUUAAGAAGUUUACUGCCCAGAAAAAACCCUUUUCCAUGUAUUGUCAUGAAGAGAUCUUGAUUUUCACGUUGAUAGGAGUUUGAAACAUGGCCAAUGCCUGGUUAUUUUAGAAUGUUCAACUGCCAGGCUAUCAAACUAGUAAACGACCUUCACUCAUCCAACAUGUCUAGAAAUCAACUCAAUUAAAAUUAAGUAAUAAACUAAACUAGUUCAUAA
RNAcentral lists this unclassified non-coding RNA (645 nucleotides) under Hevea brasiliensis (rubber tree). The record is from RNAcentral. Lineage: Eukaryota; Viridiplantae; Streptophyta; Magnoliopsida; Malpighiales; Euphorbiaceae.